CAAAGGAAGCGAUUCCGGCGGGGGAUGGGCAUGCGGCGCAUUAGCUAGUCGGCGGGGUAACGGCCCACCGAGGCGACGAUGCGUAGGGGUUCUGAGAGGAAGGUCCCCCACACUGGUACUGAGACACGGACCAGACUCCUACGGGAGGCAGCAGUGAGGAAUAUUGGUCAAUGGGCGGGAGCCUGAACCAGCCAAGUCGCGUGAGGGAAGACGGUCCUAUGGAUUGUAAACCUCUUUUGCCGGGGAGCAACGGGGUCCUUGCGAGGGCCCAAUGAGAGUACCCGGAGAAAAAGCAUCGGCUAACUCCGUGCCAGCAGCCGCGGUAAUACGGAGGAUGCGAGCGUUAUCCGGAUUUAUUGGGUUUAAAGGGUGCGUAGGCGGGCUGUUAAGUCAGCGGUCAAAUGUCGGGGCUCAACCCCGGCCUGCCGUUGAAACUGGCGGCCUCGAGUGGGCGAGAAGUAUGCGGAAUGCGUGGUGUAGCGGUGAAAUGCAUAGAUAUCACGCAGAACUCCGAUUGCGAAGGCAGCAUACCGGCGCCCGACUGACGCUGAGGCACGAAAGCGUGGGUAUCGAACAGGAUUAGAUACCCUGGUAGUCCACGCAGUAAACGAUGAAUGCUAGCUGUCCGG
RNAcentral lists this ribosomal RNA (629 nucleotides) under uncultured bacterium. RNAcentral describes it as "bacterial SSU rRNA". It matches the Rfam family "Bacterial small subunit ribosomal RNA", at positions 202 to 827 of the family's 1533-position model. The record is from RNAcentral.